Molecule: transfer RNA, 66 nt
Filed under: Faecalibacterium sp. BIOML-A1
Lineage: Bacteria; Bacillati; Bacillota; Clostridia; Eubacteriales; Oscillospiraceae
Also listed under: 1 other name
Description: tRNA-OTHER
Source: RNAcentral
CUCUGCUGUGCGGCGCACUGACUCUUGUUCAGUGGGCCCAGGGUUCGAGUCCCUGGAGGUGCACCA